CACCAGCAGCGGCAGCACACAACAAGAAGCAGGAGAAGAAGUAGAAAAGAAAGGGAGCAAGGCAGACCCACCAAGGGAGAGGCAAUCUGGAGCCAAAAAAAUUGCGGACACAAGAUUUGCGAGGCACCUCCCAGGGGAUAUUAAAUUGGCAGAAUAGAGCCGAGCUCGGGGCCGGGGCAAAAGAGCGAUGCCACACACACUUAUCUUAGCAGCGCUGGUGGUGCGAGACGACGAGCAGUGGUGAUUGAGAAAACAAAGACGAAACAAAGGGAAUGGGGGGUCGACGAAAAUACUAAACAAGUGAGCUUAUGGACUGGGAGGAGAGAGAGAGAGAGAGAGAGAGAGAAGAGGUGGCUUUAGACGACGAUGACGAUGAUCUCUGCUGUGCUGCGGCUGCGCUGCUCACUCUUGGCCUUGGUGGUGGGGUUCUUAGUAUGGGAUAGGUGAAGUGGUGGGUGGACCAGGGACGGCGCAUGGGGUCCCUCCAGUGAUCCAUUUACUACGCUCCCCCUCCCCGGCAUCACACUGCGGCUGGUCGUCCUCGAAUCUCAACUUCGCGGGAUCCAAAGUAGCUACAGUAGUGGCGAGCAAGCGGCCAAAACCACCAAAAGGAGGAGGUAAACAAGAGCUGGGAAAUGUUGGACUGGAUCUAACUAGUCGCGCAAAGCCCGGCUUUUACCGUCGUGCGCCACCAGUGUAAUUACAGCCCGCUCGUGAAUGGCCAUCCCGAGGCCGCGGCAGGGUGAGAUCCUAUGUUGUCACGCAAAAGAACUUACGCUCAUCGCGUCGUCAUCGUCGGCAUUAUUGAAGAUUGACCAGUAUAUGAUCCAUUCGAUUUGAUCGCAACCGUGGCCGUUGGAUCGCCCCCGCCCCAACGGCUGCCCGUGCCACGCGGGCUUCCCUCGCGAAAUUCCAAUCGUCUAGUUGUCGGCCGCCAGGGCGACAUAUACGGCAAUCCCGAGGCUGGCGGUAUUUACUGCCCAGGUAAAUACAUUGGCAUCGUAUGGGACCAAUCAUCAUACGCAUGGUUGUUUGGAGUAACAAACUUGUUUCCCAAAAGAAUGAAGAACCUACUUACUCACUCCUACCAAGUUUUAAAUUCAAUGAUCAAAAGAGUGUGGCUUAACAAACAACUUCUUUUAAACGUCUCUAGCUGUGGAUUUGGAAGU
This is a long non-coding RNA of Selaginella moellendorffii, 1169 nucleotides long. RefSeq lists it as uncharacterized. The transcript is spliced from 5 exons. The record is from RefSeq and is a predicted model, not a curated record. Lineage: Eukaryota; Viridiplantae; Streptophyta; Lycopodiopsida; Selaginellales; Selaginellaceae.